RNAcentral lists this small RNA (725 nucleotides) under Histoplasma capsulatum. RNAcentral's name for it is "hypothetical RNA". Lineage: Eukaryota; Fungi; Ascomycota; Eurotiomycetes; Onygenales; Ajellomycetaceae. The record is from RNAcentral.
UUUAAGCUUCACCUUCAGCAAGGAAAUUGAAUAUAUCACUCUUAUAGAGAUAAGAGAUGCAGACAUGCAUGGCAGCACAGAUAAUACAAAGUGAGAGAAGCAGCAACAGCCAUUCAUUUGUCUUCAGCUUAUUCAUAUAAAAUAUACAGAGAUUUAGUCAUCAACAAGACUGCAGUCAGAUCAGAUGAUUGUAUUAUUGUGGCUUCUCAAAGUCAUUGAAUGUCUAUAUAGAACUCUGUCUCAAGGAUUGAUUGACAAGGCCACUGAUGCAGCUGUGUUGCAAUUCCAAACCUAGAUCCACAUGUACAGCUUUACAGAGAAUGAGGCAUUUUUGUCAUUGACUCAAAAUACAGUAUAUCCUCUGCUCUGAUAUCAGACAAAAAAAAAAGAAAAGAAAAGAUAAGAAAAGAGAAGGAAAAAAGACUGACAGUCUGAGAACAGCAAUGAAUGUGAUGAAUUAAGAGUGUGUAAAGAAUGAAAGAACAGUGGAAAGAAACUGAAGAAUGAAAACAGUAAACCACAGAAGAACAAGAGUACAAGAGUAUGAUGAGAGUUAUCAAGACAAUGGAUUGUUGUAAAAGUAGUUGAGCUAUGGCAGAUUGAGUAACUUCAUUCAGCAUGGUGGUGAUGGCAGUGAGUCAGCCCAGCAUUUGUUAAGAGAAGAAGAGAUACAGAUGUCAGAGUUUGAUGAUCAUCAAUGAAGAGAGGGAAACAAGGAAAGGCUG